AGUGAACGCUGGCGGUAGGCCUAACACAUGCAAGUCGAACGACAGCUCCGUAUCUGGUUGCUCUCGCGGGCGUAACGUGGGGGAAGGGGCCGGUAGGCAUGGGAAUAUACCCUUUAGGGGGGGCUAAUGUCGGGAAACUUAUGCUAAUCACACAUACGUCCUCCGGGUGUGAGCCGGGGAUGUUCGAGCCUUGUGGGAUGGUAUGAGCCGAUGUAGGCUUCGCUCGUUGGCGGGGCAAAGGCCAACAAAGGCCACGCUCCGUCGGUGGUCUGAGAGGAGGAUCAGCCACACGGGACCUGAGGCACGGUCCAGACCCCUACGGGAGGCAGCAGGGGGGAAUAUUGGACAAGGGGCGCAAGGCGGAUCCAGCCAUACCGCGUGGGUGAAGAAGGCCUUCGGGUUGUAAAGCCCUUUUGGUGGGAAAGAAAAGCAGCAGGUUAAUACCCCGCUGUUCUGACGGUACCCAAAGAAUAAGCACCGGCUAACUUCGUG
RNAcentral lists this ribosomal RNA (492 nucleotides) under uncultured bacterium. RNAcentral describes it as "partial 16S ribosomal RNA". It matches the Rfam family "Bacterial small subunit ribosomal RNA", at positions 28 to 507 of the family's 1533-position model. The record is from RNAcentral.